This 497-nucleotide ribosomal RNA is filed under the name uncultured bacterium. RNAcentral describes it as "bacterial SSU rRNA". It matches the Rfam family "Bacterial small subunit ribosomal RNA", at positions 43 to 527 of the family's 1533-position model. The record is from RNAcentral.
CAGGCUUAACACAUGCAAGUCGAGCGGCAGCGGGAAGAUAGCUUGCUAUCUUUGCCGGCGAGCGGCGGACGGGUGAGUAAUGCCUAGGGAUCUGCCCAGUCGAGGGGGAUAACAGUUGGAAACGACUGCUAAUACCGCAUACGCCCUACGGGGGAAAGGAGGGGACCUUCGGGCCUUCCGCGAUUGGAUGAACCUAGGUGGGAUUAGCUAGUUGGUGAGGUAAUGGCUCACCAAGGCGACGAUCCCUAGCUGUUCUGAGAGGAUGAUCAGCCACACUGGGACUGAGACACGGCCCAGACUCCUACGGGAGGCAGCAGUGGGGAAUAUUGCACAAUGGGCGAAAGCCUGAUGCAGCCAUGCCGCGUGUGUGAAGAAGGCCUUCGGGUUGUAAAGCACUUUCAGUAGGGAGGAAAGGUUAACGAUUAAUACUCGUUAGCUGUGACGUUACCUACAGAAGAAGGACCGGCUAACUCCGUGCCAGCAGCCGCGGUAAUACG